Helicoverpa zea (corn earworm) is the source of this 513-nucleotide long non-coding RNA. RefSeq lists it as uncharacterized. The record is from RefSeq and is a predicted model, not a curated record. The transcript has 2 exons. NCBI's taxonomy places the organism in Eukaryota, Metazoa, Arthropoda, Insecta, Lepidoptera, Noctuidae.
GUUGACAAUAACCUGGAUUAUACCAUCACCAAAUUCUUCGCUUUGUGUUUCAAUGGAUUGCAAUAUAUGACAGUUAUAUACCGUAUUUUUAAACACCAUGAUUCUUGCGUGUUACCAGCCAUCAAAUAAUGUAUUAUUCAAGCGCUAGUGCGAAGCCGCAGCUACCUCGCUGCAAAUAAUUUCCACCGGCGCGGUUGAAAUCUAUACAAACAACUUACACGCUUUAUCCCUGUGUCUUCGUAAUGGUCAUUAUUACAUACUCAUCAGUUUUUUUUUAGCCAGUCUGUCUGUUCCCGGGAUGAAAGAAAGAUAGCGGAUAUGCUAGAAGGAAGAUGGCCUUUAUAAUCAGAAGAGGAAUAUGGUAACAUACAUGAAAAUCAUCAGAACAUGUCUGGACUUUAGAACUACAAUUUGUAAGACAUUUUUGCAAGGUUACAGCCAGUUACACCAAAUUGCACUUACAUUUUUAGGAAAUAAAUUAUUUGUUUUGAUUGCAUUAAAAAAUUGAUUGAU